RNAcentral lists this transfer RNA (84 nucleotides) under candidate division NC10 bacterium RIFCSPLOWO2_02_FULL_66_22. RNAcentral's name for it is "tRNA-Leu". It matches the Rfam family "tRNA". From Rfam's summary of the family: Transfer RNA (tRNA) molecules are approximately 80 nucleotides in length. Their secondary structure includes four short double-helical elements and three loops (D, anti-codon, and T loops). Further hydrogen bonds mediate the characteristic L-shaped molecular structure. tRNAs have two regions of fundamental functional importance: the anti-codon, which is responsible for specific mRNA codon recognition, and the 3' end, to which the tRNAs corresponding amino acid is attached (by aminoacyl-tRNA synthetases). tRNAs cope with the degeneracy of the genetic code in two manners: having more than one tRNA (with a specific anti-codon) for a particular amino acid; and 'wobble' base-pairing, i.e. permitting non-standard base-pairing at the 3rd anti-codon position. The record is from RNAcentral. RNAcentral also lists the same sequence under 5 other names. Lineage: Bacteria; Methylomirabilota (SeqCode).
GCGAGAGUGGCGGAAUGGCAGACGCGUCCCGUUUAGGGCGGGAUGGGGCGACCCGUGGGGGUUCAACUCCCCCCUCUCGCACCA